Molecule: ribosomal RNA, 624 nt
Filed under: uncultured bacterium
Lineage: Bacteria
Description: bacterial SSU rRNA
Rfam family: Bacterial small subunit ribosomal RNA
Source: RNAcentral
GAACACCAGUGGCGAAGGCGACUUACUGGGCCGUAACUGACGUUGAUGCGCGAAAGUNGGGGAGCGAACAGGAUUAGAUACCCUGGUAGUCCACGCCGUAAACGAUGAGUGCUAGGUGUAGCGGGUAUCGACCCCUGCUGUGCCGGAGUUAACACAAUAAGCACUCCGCCUGGGGAGUACGGCCGCAAGGUUGAAACUCAAAGGAAUUGACGGGGGCCCGCACAAGCAGCGGAGAAUGUGGUUUAAUUCGAAGCAACGCGAAGAACCUUACCAGGUCUUGACAUCGAGGCAAAGCCUNAGAGAUACGGUGUUCAGCAAUGAGGCCGAAGACAGGUGGUGCAUGGUUGUCGUCAGCUCGUGUCGUGAGAUGUUGGGUUAAGUCCCGCAACGAGCGCAACCCUUAUUGUCAGUUACUAACGGGUAAAGCUGAGGACUCUGACGAGACUGCCGGGGACAACUCGGAGGAAGGUGGGGACGACGUCAAAUCAUCAUGCCCCUUAUGACCUGGGCUACACACGUGCUACAAUGGUGGUUACAGAGAGGAGCGAGCCCGCGAGGGGGAGCGGAUCUCAAAAAAGCCAUCUCAGUUCGGAUUGUGGGCUGCAACCCGNCCACAUGAAGUUG